Molecule: unclassified non-coding RNA, 354 nt
Filed under: soil metagenome
Description: partial contains 5.8S ribosomal RNA, internal transcribed spacer 2, and large subunit ribosomal RNA
Rfam family: 5.8S ribosomal RNA (bases 1-120)
Source: RNAcentral
GAUGAAGAACGUAGCGAAAUGCGAUAAGUAAUGUGAAUUGCAGAAUUCAGUGAACCAUCGAAUCUUUGAACGCACAUUGCGCCCCCUGGUAUUCCGGGGGGCAUGCCUGUCCGAGCGUCAUUUCUGCCCUCCAGCCCGGCUGGGUGUUGGGCGCUGUCCCCCCGGGGACACGCCCCAAAGGCAGUGGCGGCGCCGCGUCGGGUCCUCGAGCGUAUGGGGCUUUGUCACCCGCUCGGGACGGACUCGUCGGCGCUGGUCUUCCUCCAGGCGACCCUUCGGGGCUCGUCUUCCUUCGGUUGACCUCGGAUCAGGUAGGGUUACCCGCUGAACUUAAGCAUAUCAAUAAGCGGAGGA